This 467-nucleotide ribosomal RNA is filed under the name uncultured bacterium. Its description in RNAcentral is "partial 16S ribosomal RNA". It matches the Rfam family "Bacterial small subunit ribosomal RNA", at positions 28 to 506 of the family's 1533-position model. The record is from RNAcentral.
GACGAACGCUGGCGGCGUGCUUAACACAUGCAAGUCGAACGGAAAGGCCCUGCUUUUGUGGGGUGCUCGAGUGGCGAACGGGUGAGUAACACGUGAGUAACCUGCCCUUGACUUUGGGAUAACUUCAGGAAACUGGGGCUAAUACCGGAUAGGAGCUCCUGCUGCAUGGUGGGGGUUGGAAAGUUUCGGCGGUUGGGGAUGGACUCGCGGCUUAUCAGCUUGUUGGUGGGGUAGUGGCUUACCAAGGCUUUGACGGGUAGCCGGCCUGAGAGGGUGACCGGCCACAUUGGGACUGAGAUACAGCCCAGACUCCUACGGGAGGCAGCAGUUAGGAAUAUUGCACAAUGGGCGGAAGCCUGAUGCAGCAACGCCGCGUGCGGGAUGACGGCCUUCGGGUUGUAAACCGCUUUCGCCUGUGACGAAGCGUGAGUGAAGGUAAUGGGUAAAGAAGCACCGGCUAACUACGU